AGAGAGCCGAGGUCGACUCAUCCCGAAGUAGCUGACGGUCGACUCACCCCGAAGAAGCUCAAAUGUCCUUCUCUUUCGUGAGGAUUUCGCAACUAGCAAAAACUCAGUGCAGUGGAAUGCCCGGAGGUCCUGGUCAACAAAAGAAAAGGGAAGUGACCGAACCUGAAGAAGUCAAACUACUGUCCGGAUUCUCCACAAGGGCAAAAUGCUGGAGUGAUGGAGGGGCAUUUAGAUGGAGGUAAUGAAGAAAGACCCAGACAACACAACAGUGGAUGAAGUGAUGUCUGCUACUUUCUCGCUUCGCCGUAAAGAAACAGUU
Long non-coding RNA from Engraulis encrasicolus (European anchovy), 319 nucleotides. RefSeq lists it as uncharacterized. NCBI's taxonomy places the organism in Eukaryota, Metazoa, Chordata, Actinopteri, Clupeiformes, Engraulidae. The transcript has 3 exons. The record is from RefSeq and is a predicted model, not a curated record.